CCUACGGGAGGCAGCAGUGGGGAAUCUUCCGCAAUGGGCGAAAGCCUGACGGAGCAACGCCGCGUGAUCGAAUGAAGGCCUUCGGGUUGUAAAGAUCUGUUGACAGGGACGAAUAAGCAAUGCGAAUAGUUUUGUGUAUGACGGUACCUGUUUAGAAAGCUCCGGCUAACUACGUGCCAGCAGCCGCGGUAAUACGUAGGGAGCAAGCGUUGUCCGGAAUUACUGGGCGUAAAGGGCGAGUAGGUGGGCGCUUAAGUCAGGUGUGAAAACUCCGGGCCAAACCUGGAGACUGCACUUGAAACGGGGUGAAGGGAGGGGUGGGGAGGAAAGGGGAAGUAGUGGGGUAGGGGUGAACGGUGUAGAGAUUAGGAGGAAA
This 376-nucleotide ribosomal RNA is filed under the name uncultured bacterium. RNAcentral describes it as "partial 16S ribosomal RNA". It matches the Rfam family "Bacterial small subunit ribosomal RNA", at positions 338 to 707 of the family's 1533-position model. The record is from RNAcentral.